AAGCAAUGAAGCUGCCGCCAGCCCCCCCAGGUCAAGGGACCAAGAGAAGGCAUUUGGAAAACACUGCAAUCAAUGAAAACUAUCGGUUUUUCUCCUGGCUCCUGGCACUUACUGGAGCAAGUAAUUAUUCUAUCUUCUCCUUCCUCCACCACAGUCCCUAAUUUAAUCUCAUAUAAAGAUUAAUGUGUCUCCAUGUUGCUGAUCCUUAUUGUUUCUCUUUAUAAAUUUUCAAACAAUUCUGUGUUAGUUUCUGGGACUGCAGUAGCAGAACACUCAGUAUUAUUCAGCGUGUAGGUAUAGUAUAUACAAAAGAUGUAAGAAUGCUUUCUGUUUUGUUGUCACUCCCAAUAAUAAAAAUUCCCAACAUUUUAGUUCACUUUUUGAAAAUAUCUAAGUGCUAUGCACAAUGGUUUCAAAAACUAUUUCCAAAGUGGUGGUAAUUAAUUGUUCUGUUACAGAUAAUUAGGAUUACUCUCCCCCCACUACUUUAUUUUCCAUUUUUCAGUACCAUCAGGUAUUUACUGUGUAAUUUAAAAUAGGAUCACACAAAUUUCUUCACCUCUUUUCCCAUGUCAGCUUUGAACAGCACAGAAGGUCCAAACAGAAAUGGUAUUAAGAGCACACUUGUAAUUAGUAACCUCUCUUGGUUAUGACUAUCAGUUGACUACCAGCUUUACCUCUUUGUCUCCUUCUACCUUUCAGCUGUUCAUUGAUUCUGAAUGGAUUCUGAAUAGCUUCUCACCCCAUGAGAAAUUAGCUUUAUAAAAGUACUUAAUGUUUAGAGUAAACACAUGGUAAACAUAUUUGUUGUUACAGGUUUCUCCAGAGACAGGUGUGUAACACCAUUAAGGCCAAACCUGAAAAAUUUAAGGGAAAGUUAUAAUGUCAUUUGCUAGAUAAUGGCCAUUUGUAUUGUUUUCCAGCAUAUAUUAACUAGACAGUCUCACUUUACUAGUGUAUGUUGAUAACCCAUGCUGUUCUUGUUUUGUAUAAUAAUGUUAUUUUUAAUUUUUGUUGUAUUAUAUGUGCUUAUGUGCAGGCAGGCAUAUGCAUCACAUGUGCAUACACAGUAUUUUCUGUUGAGAUCCUCCCCAGCUAAAAACCGUUAGAACUGACACCAUGAUUGCAGAUUUCACUGCUAGAUGAGAUAAUCUUAACAGCCUUCUUACAUAAUCCAGGUCUUACUUUCAUUUUGCAACACUUUUUUUUUGACAUGUUGAUUUACUAGAGACAUCAAUUCCUGUUGCAUGUGCCUGUGUCCCAUCCCCUCGCUUUAACACCAGUAACUUGUACCUGUUCAAAGUGCCAUAUUCUCCUUACUAUCUCCAAAGCUGGAUGGAAACUGUGGUGCUGUGAUUCAAAUAGGAGUGUACGGAUGUGUCUUGUCUUAGCCCAGCCCCAUCAGGUAUCUGUGCCAUCGACCUGCCCUGAGUCACUUCUCACCAUGGGUGUUGCACCCAUUGCACGGGUGUGCGGUAGGGUUAUGACUCAAAAGCCACAUCAGCCCAGGCUAAAAUAGGUCUUAAAAGUCUUCAUAUGAUAUAAAGAUUUCAAGUGGUAGAGGACCUACUACAUUCCUUAUUCCUGUGGACUUUGUAACCCCACAGAAAAUGUAAGAUAUCUGUUUCUAGAACAUGACAGGGUACAAUGAGAAAUUAAAAUUCAAGUCAAGGCUGUUAUGCAAAGCUGAGGGGA
Molecule: long non-coding RNA, 1695 nt
Organism: Taeniopygia guttata (zebra finch)
Lineage: Eukaryota; Metazoa; Chordata; Aves; Passeriformes; Estrildidae
Source: Ensembl